GAUGAACGCUGGCGGCGUGCCUAAUACAUGCAAGUCGAGCGAACAGACGAGGAGCUUGCUCCUCUGACGUUAGCGGCGGACGGGUGAGUAACACGUGGAUAACCUACCUAUAAGACUGGGAUAACUUCGGGAAACCGGAGCUAAUACCGGAUAAUAUAUUGAACCGCAUGGUUCAAUAGUGUAAGACGGUUUUGCUGUCACUUAUAGAUGGAUCCGCGCCGCAUUAGCUAGUUGGUAAGGUAACGGCUUACCAAGGCAACGAUGCGUAGCCGACCUGAGAGGGUGAUCGGCCACACUGGAACUGAGACACGGUCCAGACUCCUACGGGAGGCAGCAGUAGGGAAUCUUCCGCAAUGGGCGAAAGCCUGACGGAGCAACGCCGCGUGAGUGAUGAAGGUCUUCGGAUCGUAAAACUCUGUUAUUAGGGAAGAACAAAUGUGUAAGUAACUAUGCACGUCUUGACGGUACCUAAUCAGAAAGCCACGGCUAACUAUGUG
This 497-nucleotide ribosomal RNA is filed under the name uncultured bacterium. RNAcentral describes it as "partial 16S ribosomal RNA". It matches the Rfam family "Bacterial small subunit ribosomal RNA", at positions 28 to 507 of the family's 1533-position model. The record is from RNAcentral.